Molecule: ribosomal RNA, 253 nt
Filed under: uncultured bacterium
Lineage: Bacteria
Description: partial 16S ribosomal RNA
Rfam family: Bacterial small subunit ribosomal RNA
Source: RNAcentral
UACGUAGGUGGCAAGCGUUGUCCGGAGUUAUUGGGCGUAAAGCGCGCGCAGGCGGUUGGAUAAGUCCAUGGUGAAAGCGCCUGGCUCAACUAGGCGAGUGCCGUGGGGACUGUUCAGCUGGAGUGGAGCAGAGGCGAGUGGAAUUCCGGGUGUAGUGGUGAAAUGCGUAGAGAUCCGGAGGAACACCAGAGGCGAAGGCGGCUCGCUGGGCUCUGACUGACGCUGAGGCGCGAAAGCGUGGGGAGCGAACCGG